RNAcentral lists this ribosomal RNA (468 nucleotides) under uncultured bacterium. RNAcentral describes it as "partial 16S ribosomal RNA". It matches the Rfam family "Bacterial small subunit ribosomal RNA", at positions 28 to 507 of the family's 1533-position model. The record is from RNAcentral.
GACGAACGCUGGCGGCGUGCUUAACACAUGCAAGUCGAACGGAAAGGCCCUGCUUUUGUGGGGUGCUCGAGUGGCGAACGGGUGAGUAACACGUGAGUAACCUGCCCUUGACUUUGGGAUAACUUCAGGAAACUGGGGCUAAUACCGGAUAGGAGCUCCUGCUGCAUGGUGGGGGUUGGAAAGUUUCGGCGGUUGGGGAUGGACUCGCGGCUUAUCAGCUUGUUGGUGGGGUAGUGGCUUACCAAGGCUUUGACGGGUAGCCGGCCUGAGAGGGUGACAGGCCACAUUGGGACUGAGAUACGGCACAGCCUCGUACGGGAGGCAGGAGUGGGGAAUAUUGCACAAUGGGCGGAAGGCUGAUGCAGUACCGCCGCGUGCGGGAUGACGGCCUUCGGGUUGUAAACCGCUUUCGCCUGUGACGAAGCGUGAGUGACGGUAAUGGGUAAAGAAGCACCGGCUAACUACGUG